This 67-nucleotide transfer RNA is filed under the name Marmota monax (woodchuck). Its description in RNAcentral is "tRNA.Ala". It matches the Rfam family "tRNA". Rfam says of the family: Transfer RNA (tRNA) molecules are approximately 80 nucleotides in length. Lineage: Eukaryota; Metazoa; Chordata; Mammalia; Rodentia; Sciuridae. The record is from RNAcentral.
GGUUAUAGCUCAGUGGUUGAGCACUUGCCUAGCACGUAUGAGGACCUGGGUUCAAUCCUCAGCACCA